This 517-nucleotide long non-coding RNA is filed under the name Homo sapiens (human). Its description in RNAcentral is "HSALNT0197080". The record is from RNAcentral. Lineage: Eukaryota; Metazoa; Chordata; Mammalia; Primates; Hominidae.
AUUUUUUUCUGAGCCUUUGCAGGUGGAAUGGGCUAAAUUAAAUUUCUUCUUGGAUUGCCUCAAUUUUGACAUAUGAUUUAGCUUCCAAAAUGUAUCUCUCUCCAUAUCUUCUUCUAAUCCCUCUGUUCUUACACAUUUGGAUCCAAAAGAAAAAUAAAAUUUAUGCACUUUUCCCUCCUUUUAGGGGCAUUUUUGGAGGAAGUGAAAAAAUCCUGAGUCACUAAUUCUUCACAUUUUCGUCUGAAUAAUUUUAUUAUGCAUGUGUUCCCUGUACUCUUUGGUCUGCUGAAGGAAUAAGCAGAGCCACCUCAGACAAGGCACUCACCAGCCUUUGCUCCCUGGAGGCUAAACUACAGAGCAAAGAGUCACCAAAAAUGCCGUGUAUCUUUCUAUCCAAAGUCAAGUUUGCUGGGUGAGUUUCUGUGACAAAUAAUCAUAAUUAAUCCCAAAGUAAUGAGAGGCGAAGACAGCUGAGCUUCUGGGUCGGCUGGGGACUUGGAGAACUUUUGUGUCUAGC